UAACAUAAUUCUAUAACAGGAAACAAAGU
This 29-nucleotide non-coding RNA is filed under the name Mus musculus (house mouse). The record is from RNAcentral. Lineage: Eukaryota; Metazoa; Chordata; Mammalia; Rodentia; Muridae.